UACAGAGGUGGCAAGCGUUGUUCGGAAUUACUGGGCGUAAAGGGCGCGUAGGCGGUUCGUUAAGUCCUGUGUGAAAUCCCCCGGCUCAACUGGGGAACUGCACAGGAAACUAGCGGGCUUGAGUCCGGGAGAGGGAAGCGGAAUUCCGGGUGUAGCGGUGAAAUGCGUAGAUAUCCGGAGGAACACCGGUGGCGGAGGCGGCUUCCUGGACCGACACUGACGCUGAGGCGCGAAAGCUAGGGGAGCAAACGGG
This 253-nucleotide ribosomal RNA is filed under the name uncultured bacterium. RNAcentral's name for it is "partial 16S ribosomal RNA". It matches the Rfam family "Bacterial small subunit ribosomal RNA", at positions 524 to 776 of the family's 1533-position model. The record is from RNAcentral.